GGGGAAGGGUAGCUUGCUACCUAACCUAGCGGCGGACGGGUGAGUAAUGCUUAGGAAUCUGCCUAUUAGUGGGGGACAACAUUCCGAAAGGAAUGCUAAUACCGCAUACGCCCUACGGGGGAAAGCAGGGGAUCUUCGGACCUUGCGCUAAUAGAUGAGCCUAAGUCAGAUUAGCUAGUUGGUGGGGUAAAGGCCUACCAAGGCGACGAUCUGUAGCGGGUCUGAGAGGAUGAUCCGCCACACUGGGACUGAGACACGGCCCAGACUCCUACGGGUGGCAGCAGUGGGGAAUAUUGGACAAUGGGCGCAAGCCUGAUCCAGCCAUGCCGCGUGUGUGAAGAAGGCCUUUUGGUUGUAAAGCACUUUAAGCGAGGAGGAGGCUACCGAGAUUAAUACUCUAGGAUAGUGGACGUUACUCGCAGAAUAAGCACCGGCUAACUCUGUGCCAGCAGCCGCGGUAAUACAGAGGGUGCGAGCGUUAAUCGGAUUUACUGGGCGUAAAGCGUGCGUAGGCGGCUUUUUAAGUCGGAUGUGAAAUCCCUGAGCUUAACUUAGGAAUUGCAUUCGAUACUGGGAAGCUAGAGUAUGGGAGAGGAUGGUAGAAUUCCAGGUGUAGCGGUGAAAUGCGUAGAGAUCUGGAGGAAUACCGAUGGCGAAGGCAGCCAUCUGGCCUAAUACUGACGCUGAGGUACGAAAGCAUGGGGAGCAAGCAGGAUUAGAUACCCUGGUAGUCCAUGCCGUAAACGAUGUCU
Molecule: ribosomal RNA, 752 nt
Filed under: uncultured bacterium
Lineage: Bacteria
Description: bacterial SSU rRNA
Rfam family: Bacterial small subunit ribosomal RNA
Source: RNAcentral